This 321-nucleotide long non-coding RNA is filed under the name Vigna radiata. RNAcentral describes it as "long non-coding RNA (VRAD_LNC011237)". Lineage: Eukaryota; Viridiplantae; Streptophyta; Magnoliopsida; Fabales; Fabaceae. The record is from RNAcentral.
GUAUGAAAUAGUAAAAGAGAUGAGGGGAAAUCUCCCUUAUGUGUCUUUGUAUACACAUAGGGUAAUGUAUUUAUAAUAAUAAGAGUGUGGGCUAAGCCCAAAUACAAAUGAACAUGUAAAUGAAAUAAACACAAUAUCUAACACUCCCCCUCAAGCUGGAGAAUAUAAAUCAUAUGUUCCAAGCUUGUUACAAAGAUAGUCAAUUCUAGGUCCUCGCAAGGACUUAGUGAAUAUGUCUGCCAACUGGUUGCUUGAGUUAACAAACUCAGUCUUGAUAUAUCCAGAUAUGAUUUUUUCUCUAAUAAAAUGGCAAUCAACUUC